Molecule: ribosomal RNA, 346 nt
Filed under: uncultured bacterium
Lineage: Bacteria
Description: partial 16S ribosomal RNA
Rfam family: Bacterial small subunit ribosomal RNA
Source: RNAcentral
CCUACGGGUGGCAGCAGUGGGGAAGAUUGGGCAAUGGAGGAAACUCUGACCCAGCAACGCCGCGUGAAUGAUGAAGGUCUUCGGAUGGUAAAGUUCUUGUCUAAGGGAAGAAGAAAGUGACGGUACCUUAGGAAUAAGCCUCGGCUAACUACGUGCCAGCAGCCGCGGUAAUACGUAGGAGGCGAGCGUUAUCCGGAAUGACUGGGCGUAAAGGGUGCGUAGGUGGUUUGGCAAGUUAGUAGCGUAACUCCAAGGCUCAACCUUGGAACUACUACUCAAACUGUUGGACUUGAGUGCAGGUGUGUCAACCGGCCUUCCUAGUGUCGCGGUGUCAUGCGUCGAUAUU